RNAcentral lists this ribosomal RNA (407 nucleotides) under uncultured bacterium. RNAcentral describes it as "partial 16S ribosomal RNA". It matches the Rfam family "Bacterial small subunit ribosomal RNA", at positions 28 to 526 of the family's 1533-position model. The record is from RNAcentral.
GACGAACGCUGGCGGCGUGCCUAAUACAUGCAAGUAGGACGCAGUUGCGAACGGGUGAGUAACGCGUAGGUAACUGCCUAUUAGAGGGGGAUAACUAUUGGAAACGAUAGCUAAUACCGCAUACUAGUAGAUGGACCUGCGUUGUAUUAGCUAGUAGGUAGGGUAAUGGGCUACCUAGGCGACGAUACAUAGCCGACCUGAGAGGGGGAGCGGGCACACUGGGACUGAGAGACGGCCCAGACUCCUACGGGCGGCAGCAGGAGGGAGUAUUCGGGAAUGGGGGGAACGCUGACCGAGCAACGCCGCGUGAGGGAAGAAGGGUUUCGGAGCGUAAAGCGCUGUUGUUAAGGAAGCGGUACUUAACCAGAAGGGGACGGCUAACUACGUGCCAGCAGCCGCGGUAAUAC